GAUGAACGCUGGCGGCGUGCCUAACACAUGCAAGUCGAGCGGACGGACGCGGCUCUUGCUUCGCUGUUGUUAGCGGCGGGCGGGUGAGUCACACGUGUAUACCCUCCCUAUAAGUCUGGUAUCACUUCGGGAAACCGGAUAUAACACCGGAUGAUAUUUUGAAGCGCGGGGUUCAAUGGUGAAUGACGGUCUUGCUGUCACUAAUAGAGGGAUCCGAGCUGCAUUAGCUAGUUGGUACGGUAACGGCUUACCAAGGCUACGAUGCAUAGCCGACCUGAGAGGGUGAUCGGCCACACUGGAACUGAGACACGGUCCAGACUCCUACGGGAGGCAGCAGUAGGGAAUCUUCGGCAAUGGGCGAAAGCCUGACGGAGCGACGCCGCGUGUGUGAUGAAGGUCUUCGGAUCGUAAAGCUCUGUUACUAGGGAAGAACAGAUGUGUAAUUAACCGUGGACAUCUUGACGGUACCUAAUCAAAAAGCACCGGCUAACUACGUG
This 497-nucleotide ribosomal RNA is filed under the name uncultured bacterium. RNAcentral describes it as "partial 16S ribosomal RNA". It matches the Rfam family "Bacterial small subunit ribosomal RNA", at positions 28 to 507 of the family's 1533-position model. The record is from RNAcentral.